This 296-nucleotide ribosomal RNA is filed under the name Clostridioides difficile. RNAcentral's name for it is "partial 23S ribosomal RNA". It matches the Rfam family "Bacterial large subunit ribosomal RNA", at positions 1595 to 1904 of the family's 2925-position model. Lineage: Bacteria; Bacillati; Bacillota; Clostridia; Peptostreptococcales; Peptostreptococcaceae. The record is from RNAcentral.
UGAUUUCACACUGUCAAGAAAAGUCUCUAUCGAGGUUAAAGGUACCCGUACCGCAAACCGACACAGGUGGGUGAGGAGAGUAUCCUAAGGCCCGCGAGAGAACUGUUGUUAAGGAACUCGGCAAAAUGACCCCGUAACUCAGGGAUAAGGGGUGCCACCCUCCGGUGGCCGCAGAGAAUAGGCCCAAGCGACUGUUUACCAAAAACAUAGGUUUCUGCUAAGUCGCAAGACGAUGUAUAGGAGCUGACGCCUGCCCGGUGCUGGAAGGUUAAGGGGAUCUGUUAGAGCAAUCGAAG